Pollicipes pollicipes is the source of this 308-nucleotide long non-coding RNA. RefSeq lists it as uncharacterized. The record is from RefSeq and is a predicted model, not a curated record. The transcript is spliced from 3 exons. Lineage: Eukaryota; Metazoa; Arthropoda; Thecostraca; Pollicipedomorpha; Pollicipedidae.
AAGAACUUCGGCCUUUGCUUAUGAAUGGGAGCUUAAACGUGGCGUUGGUUUCGGCAAAAAAGAUAGUUUCUUCAUUUCAACUUCUGGUGGCAGCCAACAUAGCCCUGCACAACCAGGCAGAUGGCUCACUGAAAACAAGGAAUAUCAACUCAGAGAUCAUAUUCUCUCUGUCCCCAGGAAAACAGAUAUCUGAGGCGUUUCGGUCGUUGGGCGCGGCGGCCGACGACGCGACGGUGGCCGCUGUGGCCGUGGAGGACGCGGCCAGGCUGGCGCCCUUGCACGAGGCUCUGGAUGGCACAGCUGUCCAU